UCCUUUGUGGCUCAGACAAUAAAGAAUCUGCCUGCAAUGCAGGAGACCUGGGUUCGAUCCCCACCUUGGGAA
This 72-nucleotide transfer RNA is filed under the name Bos taurus (domestic cattle). It matches the Rfam family "tRNA". From Rfam's summary of the family: Transfer RNA (tRNA) molecules are approximately 80 nucleotides in length. Lineage: Eukaryota; Metazoa; Chordata; Mammalia; Artiodactyla; Bovidae. The record is from Rfam by way of RNAcentral. RNAcentral also lists the same sequence under 2 other names.